This is a non-coding RNA of Chiloscyllium plagiosum (whitespotted bambooshark), 401 nucleotides long. The record is from RefSeq and is a predicted model, not a curated record. NCBI's taxonomy places the organism in Eukaryota, Metazoa, Chordata, Chondrichthyes, Orectolobiformes, Hemiscylliidae.
GGUGUCCAAAUAGACCCUUUAACCAUAACAAAUGGACCAAUAUAGUGUGCAACAAAGUCCUAAUGGAGGUCCAGGGCAGAGGUCUGGUUUAACUCAAAAAUAGACAACGGUUCGGAGCAAAGGAAGUGGCCUGUUAAGAUAGUAGAAAUUGCAUGUCACAGAAACAAACACAUGUACUACAUAGAUUUCCCUGAACAGAACCAGGUGAUUCUACAUAGCCUAGCUAGUUCUUAUUUUAUUGCCCCAAAAAAAUUUAAUGACACGCAAAGAGAAAAAAAAAUCAAAAAUUAAUAAAGGAAGAACUAAGAAAGCAUGCUCCAGGGCAAAUUGACUGCGUGCAUAUCUACAAUAGGUGAGAAUUCAGAUGGCAAAACCACACUGUAGGAAAAAUACAGUCCUCC